GCUUAUGGCCAUACCACCCUGAGCACGCCCGAUCUCGUCUGAUCUCGGAAGCUAAGCAGGGUCGGUCCUGGUUAGUACUUGGAUGGGAGACUGCCUGUGAAUACCAGGUGCUGUAAGCU
RNAcentral lists this ribosomal RNA (119 nucleotides) under Betta splendens (Siamese fighting fish). The record is from RNAcentral. Lineage: Eukaryota; Metazoa; Chordata; Actinopteri; Anabantiformes; Osphronemidae.